RNAcentral lists this ribosomal RNA (305 nucleotides) under uncultured bacterium. Its description in RNAcentral is "bacterial SSU rRNA". It matches the Rfam family "Bacterial small subunit ribosomal RNA", at positions 335 to 634 of the family's 1533-position model. The record is from RNAcentral.
AUCCUACGGGAGGCAGCAGUAGGGAAUUUUCGUCAAUGGGGGAAACCCUGAACGAGCAAUGCCGCGUGAGUGAAGAAGGCCUUCGGGUCGUAAAGCUCUGUUGUAAGAGAAAAACGGUAAUGAUAGGAAAUGAUCAUUAAGUGAUGGUAUCUUACGAGGAAGCCACGGCUAACUACGUGCCAGCAGCCGCGGUAAUACGUAGGUGGCAAGCGUUAUCCGGAUUUAUUGGGUUUAAAGGGUGCGUAGGCGGUCCGUUAAGUCAGCGGUAAAAUUGCGGGGCUCAACCCCGUCGAGCCGUUGAAACU